GGUGAGUAACACGUGGGUAACCUGCCCAUAAGACUGGGAUAACUCCGGGAAACCGGGGCUAAUACCGGAUAAUAUUUUGAACUGCAUGGUUCGAAAUUGAAAGGCGGCUUCGGCUGUCACUUAUGGAUGGACCCACGUCGCAUUAGCUAGUUGGUGAGGUAACGGCUCACCAAGGCAACGAUGCGUAGCCGACCUGAGAGGGUGAUCGGCCACACUGGAACUGAGACACGGUCCAG
RNAcentral lists this ribosomal RNA (236 nucleotides) under uncultured Bacillus sp. RNAcentral describes it as "partial 16S ribosomal RNA". It matches the Rfam family "Bacterial small subunit ribosomal RNA", at positions 105 to 334 of the family's 1533-position model. The record is from RNAcentral. Lineage: Bacteria; Bacillati; Bacillota; Bacilli; Caryophanales; Bacillaceae.